RNAcentral lists this long non-coding RNA (442 nucleotides) under Homo sapiens (human). Its description in RNAcentral is "HSALNT0166430". Lineage: Eukaryota; Metazoa; Chordata; Mammalia; Primates; Hominidae. The record is from RNAcentral.
CGCCCUCGAGCUUCUAGGUGCCUUUCUCUCGCCACUCCAAGGUGAAAGAACUGGGCUUUUCUCUCCUUUGCUCCGACUAUUUCAGGGAAACUGCAGUCGUCGACGCCUGCGUUGGCAUCGCAAAAGCCCAGGAGGGAUAGCGCAGCCGAGAUUCUCCGACAGCUCCCCACCUCUCCCGGCUCUCUGAUCUACCACGUCAGUGGUCUCCUCCAGGCAGUGCAAAGGCAGUAUCUCUCUGAAUCCCGGGACGUCUCAGCCAAAGCAGGGAAGACACCCCAAGUACGCUGGAAGGCUGGGUAAGGCGCGAAGGGCAGCCCCAUUCCAGUCUUCAAAGAGAGCUAGCUGUUCACCGCUCCUCUCCUCCAGAUUUCACCGUGCCUGAAGAACUACCAUGCUUUUCAUGUAAUAUUUUUAAAAACAUUAAAUACUUUGGAUUAAGAGA